RNAcentral lists this transfer RNA (68 nucleotides) under Pseudocolaspis sp. EMHAU_15070625. Its description in RNAcentral is "tRNA-Ala". It matches the Rfam family "tRNA". Rfam says of the family: Transfer RNA (tRNA) molecules are approximately 80 nucleotides in length. Their secondary structure includes four short double-helical elements and three loops (D, anti-codon, and T loops). Lineage: Eukaryota; Metazoa; Arthropoda; Insecta; Coleoptera; Chrysomelidae. The record is from RNAcentral.
GGAUAAUAGUUAAGUAUAACAUUUAAAUUGCAAUUAAAAAAUAUUGAUUAAUAAUCAAUUUAUCUCAA